AUGAAAAACCACAAUAAGUACGUCAAAUUGCCCCAAGACCUCGAUCUGAGUUUCCACAGUGAUUUGGACCUGCUGCCGGAUACGGCGGCCGACAUCGACGUAGAACUAGACCCGGCUGCGGACACGGAUGUGGCCGCGCUCAGUGUGAACGUGCCCGUGUCUCUGGGCCUGGACGAGGACGACGACGACGAGGUCAUCAUCGCCCCCGGCGGCGGAGGACUUCGACUGGCGGCACACAGGCAGCACCAGCAGCGCAAGCAGCUGAAGAACCAGCUGGAGCAGAAGCAGAUCCUGCCCAAGAGCAAGAUCUGCGGACUAGGCAGCGACAGCAUCGUCGAGACGGGCCUAACCCUCACACCUGAAAUGCUGUUAUCCACCUCGGAAUCAUCGACCCACAGUGCCUCCGAGGUCGCCGGACGACUGCAGGUCGACGUGCGUACCGGCCUCAAAUGGACGGAGGCCAAGUAUCGUGCCAAGAUCAUCGGGCAUAACGAGCUGCUGCUCGUGGCGGAGGAUCCCACAUGGAAAAAGUACAUUGAGCAGUUUAGGAACCCGCUAAUUCUACUGCUUCUUGGUUCUGCUCUGGUGUCCGUAAUCAUGAAGCAGUUUGACGACGCCGUGAGCAUAACCAUUGCCAUCCUAAUCGUGGUCACGGUGGCCUUCAUUCAGGAGUACCGCUCCGAGAAGAGUCUGGAGGAGCUUAAGAAGCUAGUGCCCCCUGAAUGCCACUGCCUGCGGGAAGGUCGACUAGACACCUUCCUGGCACGCGAACUGGUGCCCGGGGACAUAGUGCACCUCAACGUGGGCGACCGGGUGCCGGCCGACGUGCGUCUUUUUGAAGCUGUGGACCUAUCUAUCGACGAGAGCAGUUUCACCGGCGAAACAGAGCCCGCGCGCAAGAUUACCGAUGUUUUGCUGAACAAUACGAACGUAAAGGACCACAGCAACAUGAAGAACAUUGCCUUCAUGGGCACUCUGGUGCGAUGUGGCAACGGCAAGGGCAUAGUUGUCAGCACUGGGGAGCGCAGUGAGUUCGGUGAAGUCUUCAAAAUGAUGCAGGCAGAGGAGGCUCCGAAGACGCCACUGCAGAAGUCGAUGGACAUUCUAGGCGCUCAGUUGAGCUUCUACUCCUUCCUGAUUAUCGGUGUCAUCAUGCUGCUGGGCUGGCUACAAGGUAAGCCGCUCUCGGAAAUGUUCAAUAUCAGCGUUUCACUGGCCGUUGCGGCCAUCCCCGAGGGCCUUCCUAUCGUGGUAACUGUGACUCUGGCGCUUGGCGUAAUGCGGAUGGCUAAACGAAAUUCCAUCGUUAAAAAGCUGCCUACUGUUGAGACCUUGGGCUGCGUAAACGUUAUCUGCUCUGACAAGACGGGAACUUUGACCAAGAACGAGAUGACGGCCACGAUCAUCAUCACUUCCGACGGCUACAUGGCGGACGUGACCGGUGCCGGUUACAAUGACCAGGGUGAAAUCCACAUACGGCAUUGCAACAACGUGGAGAUGGCUAAGACCAAUAUUACAAACCUUCUUGAAAUCGGGGCGGUCUGCAAUAACGCUUACAUACAAAAUGGCACCCUGCUAGGACAGCCCACCGAGGGAGCCCUUGUGGCGGUAGCCAUGAAGAACGGAAUGUACGCCACAGCUGAGAACUACGUUCGCAUCCAGGAGUAUCCCUUCAGCUCGGAGCAGAAGAUGAUGGCUGUGAAGUGCAUCCACAAGUACAACAACAACAAGGAAGAGAUUUUCUUCGCCAAGGGGGCUCUAGAGACCCUGUUGCCGCAGUGCACCAAGUAUCAGUUCGGUACCCAGACGGUACCACUUACCAAGCAGAACGAGGCCGAGUUCCUAGCCGAGGCGUACGAGAUCGGGCGCAAGGGCCUGCGCGUGUUGGCCCUGGCAAAGGGCCGGUCCAUGCAAGAUCUGAUCUACUGCGGCCUAGUCGGCAUCACUGACCCACCGAGGCCCCUUGUUCGAGAGUCCAUUGAAAUGUUGAUGCAGAGCGGAGUGCGUGUCAAAAUGGUGACUGGAGAUGCCCAGGAAACGGCCUUGGCCAUUGCGAAUCUCAUCGGUAUCGAUACAAUCCACCACCAGACGCUUUCCGGUCAGGAAAUGGAUCAAAUGAACGAGCACCAACUGGACAAGGUAGCCAACAACGUGAGCGUCUUCUACCGCGUAUCGCCACGCCACAAACUGGAGAUAGUCAAGUCCUUGCAGCGCAGUGGCAACAUAGUCGGCAUGACUGGCGACGGGGUGAACGACGGAGUAGCUCUGAAGAAGGCAGACAUCGGCAUUGCCAUGGGUAAGAACGGGACGGAUGUGUGUAAGGAGGCGGCUGAUAUGAUCCUGGUCAAUGAUGAUUUCCACACCAUAAUCGCCGCCAUCGAGGAGGGCAAGGGCAUAUUCUACAACAUUCGAAAUUUCGUGCGCUUUCAGCUUAGCACAUCAAUAGCUGCCCUGGCCCUGAUUGCCCUGGCCACUCUGAUGGACAUUGCUAACCCGCUGAAUGCCAUGCAGAUUUUGUGGAUCAACAUCAUAAUGGACGGUCCGCCAGCACAGUCUCUGGGUGUGGAGCCUGUCGACCACGAUGUGCUCAAACAGAAACCACGGAACGUGAAACAGCCGAUGAUCACAAAGUCUGUGGUGGUGAACGUUCUGCUUAGUGCCAGCAUAAUUGUACUGGGCACGCUGUGGGUGUUCCAGCGCGAAAUGGCCGACGGGACGCUGGGAAAGACCAAGCGGGACACGACGAUGACCUUUACUUGUUUCGUGUUUUUCGACAUGUUUAACGCCCUGUCUUGCCGCUCGCAGACAAAGAGUGUCUUUACCAUCGGACUCACUACCAAUCGGAUGUUCUUGCUGGCCGUCGCUUUUUCGAUCAUUGGUCAAAUGCUCGUUGUCUACUUUCCGCCGCUGCAAAUGGUUUUCCAGACGGAAGCUCUUACGCCGUAUGACAUAUUCUUCCUGGUCUCCCUAACCUCAUCUGUGCUGGUUGUUUCAGAGAUAAAGAAAUGGUUCGAGCGUACCAUGGAGCGCAAGAUGUACAGCACCCGCUCCGAGCUGGAUUUUGUAUGACAAAACGCAAGCGCUAGAGAAGAUUUGCACCCCAAAGCCGAGUAAAUUAAAUAACUAACAAAAAAUCCAUAAAAAAAAGUAAAACUAUGCCAAAACAAGUGAGGAGCGCGGCGAUGGAUCAAGGAUGUGUGUGUUUAACUUUACAUUUGACUUGACCAAUUAAGAAUGAUUUAAUGGUUACUGUGGGUUUUCAACCAGAGUGCACAGAAGGGAUUUUCAUAGAUUUGAAAUCUUACUCGUUCUUCCCCACAGCGAAGCAACCGGAUUAUAAAUCAAGUGACCACUUACUAUAAUCCGAGUAUAUUCACCGGGAAAGUGCAAUACCACUAGGUCACAGUCAACAUACAUAAGAUUAAAACGGAAGCGAGUCAAAAAGGCAUGAAAUGGACAAGCUAAGCGAGGCGUAGUUAAAGUAAAACAUGGUUUUUUUGGUAUUAUUGAUGAAUAAUUUAUUCGGUAUUUGAAAGCAAGCAUUCAAUUUGUGUAAAAUUGAGGCAAAUCAAAACUCUAGCGUGCUAUCAAAAUAAAACAAUUUUUGACGAAGACAUCUCCAAAACAACUUUAAAUGGAGAGUUCAGAUCAACAAAAGAUUUUUGUACGUAAUCAAAAAUACUAUAAUUUCCGCAUACUUUGUGGGCGUUGAUUUGAUGCUUUGGUAAUUAAGUUCACGAUUAAUGGGUUUACCAAAACGGAAUAACCAAGCAAAUGCGAAAUUUUACGAAGCAAUCAGCACCACGUUUACUCGAAUGUAAAGCAAUUUUCGCUCAUAUACUUAAAUAAAAAAUAAAUUCAUAGGAAAACACGGUUCUGUGUACUAUUCUGUUGCUUGUAGGUUGAAUUGAACUCCGAUGCAAUAGUUUACUUAAUGCCAACAGAAAUUUACAAGUAUAGCUUAUCCAGAUCGUAAUCAAAAGUAUACAUCUCAAUAAUAAAUUAAUACAUUUGGAAAAAAUAAACAAAUUCAGUAGAUUACCAACACUUGUCUACCCCUUAUAAAUUAACGUAAAUAUCAUUGACAUAAAAUUCAUAUCAUACCAACUCAGAGUUCACUGUUGCACUGGAAGCAUAUCACAAUUGGUCCAUGUUUUUAUACCCGUUAUUUGUAGAGCAAAAGGCAAUUCUUUAUUCGUAUUAAAGAAUAUAUAUUCUUGAUCGAAAUCACUGGCCCGGCCCGUCUGUGUGUCCGUCCGUAUGUCUGUCCGUAUAAACGUUGAAAUCUUGGCAGAUAUAAAAGCUAGAGACACAAACGCGACCCAUAACUGCAACGGCCACAUUUUAUAGAAAUGAUUUUAUAUUUUAAAGUUAUAAGUCUUGUCAAUUCCUGAUAUGCCCACAUUUUUUUUAAAUUUUGAUAUUUUUUGUAUCAAAUUCUAUCGAUAAUUAAGAACAACUUUGAAAUACUUCCCUGGCACUCCCACUAUUUGAGUAACGGGUAUCUAAUAGUCGAGAAAUUCGACUUUAGCGUUCUCUCUUGUUUUUAUUUGAAUGAGCUUGUAUGUCAACAUUUUUCACGAAUUUAAAACUUGGUUUUAGCAAUUUAUGUGCACACUGCAGAUCGCAUUCAAAGGACCAAUCGUUAAAUAAUUCAUUUGAUCACACACAUUAAGAUCAGCUUACGCUCAACAAAAACGCACUCAUAUAUCACGGCAAAAAAAAAAUGAAAAAACUUAAAAACACAAAAAAAAAAAGAAAAACCAGGAAAAAUAAUUGAUGAGAAUGCUCGUUCAACAGGGCAAACAAUUGAAGGUUCAUAAUAAUAUCAGCGCAUAAAAGCAUACUAAAAGUACAUCAGCAGACAACCAGAGACACACAUUCCCACACACGUUCAGUCACAUCUCAUCCACAAUGGUAACAAUAAUUAGAAAAAUAAGCGUAUUAAUAUAGAGUAAAAAGUAUGAAUGUCUGGAGGAUUAAAUAAAGUGCACCAAAUAAAAUAAAUAUGUUAGUCAAAGCAGGUAUACAUUAUGGAAUUUAAACUAAACUCUACUCAAUGUUAUGUGUAAGCAAAGUCCGAAAUUCGACUUAUAAUGAAUGAUGGUACCAAACGAAUUCUUAACCACUGAAAUAUUCAUUGAUCGUCUAUUAAUAUAUAUGUAAGUUUAAAUGUCUAACUGGACCGCCUAAUUUAAGAGCUCCGAAAAAUGUGUUGCCUAAAUUCACAAUUUACCAAAAUAGUUGAAAUAGUUUGGUGCAAAGAAAUGUACAAUUGAUGACAACCGUACGAGUUCUUAAAAUCCAUUUCUAAAAAACGCUUAACCUAUAAAAAUUAACUAUAACUAUCUGUGCUAUUAAAUUUAAGCUAUAAAAUAUAGACAAAUACCAAGAGUAAUGCAAACAUACAUUCAAACAUAUUUCGAGAAUAAUAAGAACCCUGAGAAAUGGAAUAAAGUAAAUUGAACCAUCAUCGUUUGUUUUACCAAAGCUAUCCCCUAAAAGUGUAUAUCAUUUUAUAAAUUUAACAAUAUUGGGGCAAGAUCUUAGGCAUAAAAUGAAUUUUGCAAUGGCAACCAUAUAUUUAAUAUUAAUCUGCGGAAUAUCGUGAAACAAGUAUUUACCGAAUAUAAUAAACUUUAUGUAGUACAGUA
RNA transcript from Drosophila sechellia, 5654 nucleotides. It is a transcript of the gene named secretory pathway calcium atpase, with no coding region annotated. The transcript has 5 exons. Lineage: Eukaryota; Metazoa; Arthropoda; Insecta; Diptera; Drosophilidae. The record is from RefSeq and is a predicted model, not a curated record.